RNAcentral lists this ribosomal RNA (1251 nucleotides) under Triticum aestivum (bread wheat). RNAcentral describes it as "partial small subunit ribosomal RNA". The record is from RNAcentral. Lineage: Eukaryota; Viridiplantae; Streptophyta; Magnoliopsida; Poales; Poaceae.
AUGUUGCCACGCACAGUAGGCGAGGAUAUGAACAGGAACCUAACGAAGGAGUUCACGGAAAAAGAAAUUAGUGAUGCCCUUUUUCAGAUUGGCCCACUCAAAGCGCCUGGUCCCGACGGCUUCCCCGCACGGUUCUUCCAACGAAACUGGGACACUCUAAAGAAAGAUGUGAUAGCCGCAGUGCAGAGGUUUUUUGCGGAUGGCAUUAUGCCAGAGGGAAUCAACGACACAGCCAUUGUGCUCAUCCCUAAAGGAAAGGAUCCACAGAACUUAAGAGAUUUCCGGCCGACCAGUCUAUGUAAUGUAAUUUAUAAAGUUAUCCCGAAGUGCUUGGUUAAUCGAAUGAGGCCUUUUCUGAACGAGUUAGUCUCAGAAACGCAGAGCGCGUUUGUUCCAGGAAGGUUGAUUACGGAUAAUGCGAUCAUUGCAUUUGAAUGUUUUCAUAAGAUUCAGCAUAGCAAAAACCCCCACAAUACAUAUUGUGCAUAUAAGUUAGACCUUGCCAAGGCGUAUGAUAGAGUGGACUGGGACUUCCUUGAAGGUGCUAUGGAGAAAAUGGGAUUCAGUGCCUUGUGGAUAAGCUGGAUUAUGAAAUGUGUGAAAUCUGUCCGGUUUUCAGUGAAGUUGAACGGGGAAGUGCUGGAAGCAUUUUGCCCAUCAAGGGGACUCCGACAAGGUGACCCACUGAGCCCGUAUUUGUUUCUUUUUGUUGCUGAUGGCCUUGCCUCUAUCUUUAAUAGAGAGGUUCGUGGAAGGAACAUUUCGCCCGUAAAAGUGGCUCACAAUAGCCCGGGUAUCUCAAACCUGUUGUUCGCGGAUGAUAGUCUGGUUUUCUUUAAAGUAUCUAGUGACCAAGCCAGAGUAGUGAAAAGAGCCCUUACUCUGUUCCAGAAGUGUACAGGGCAGCUAUUGAGCAGUAGCAAAUGCUCGAUUUUAUUCAGUGAACACUGUCCGAUGGACGUACAGGAAGAAAUCAAAAACAUUCUUGCGUGUGAGACGUCCACCUUCGAGAGUAAAUAUCUGGGACUCCCAACCCCGGAUGGAAGAAUGAAGGACGAUCAUUUUCAGCCUAUCAUGGAUAGAUUCCGUAAGAGAUGCAAUGACUGGGCAGGGAAGCAUAUGUCCUUUGCAGCCAAGGAGGUAAACGUCAAGGCAAUUGCACAAUCCUUACCCACUUUCGCUAUGGGGAUGUUCAAAUUUUCUGCGGGCUUCUGCGACAAGUACGAACGACUGAUCAGAGAGUUUUGGUGG